ACACGGAUUGCAUUGUGGCAUAGGAUAGGCCCCAUAUUUACAGUAUGCUUCAUUAUAUUCUAUCUCACCGCAGAGAUUAUGUUGUUGUUGUAGCCCAUUUGAAAAGGUUGGGACAGCGCAUAGACACGUUUCGAUUACAGAGAGGACGCAGAUGGUGGAGGAGACCUACGGGCAUUCUGUUACGAGUUUGCAGUAACAAUAGGACGUAUAUUUAUGGCAGCUGGAGUCCGUAGCCUACACGCGCUUGCAUACAAAAUACAGACAUCUGCAUACUAGUAGUUCCUCAUGCCAUCCAAACACUCCUUUUGACCAGUAUUUUUAUUUACUCUCUUUUAACCGCCCAUCAGAGGCAGCUGCUCGCCAUUUACCAGACCUAUGCUCAAGCAACGUGACGCACUCCACAGCACGUCCUCAUUUUAGAAGAGAUCGACGCAUGGAGGAUCGGACAGCUCGAGCGUUUCAUCGCACCCUUACUGACUGACACAGAUGCUGCGCUGCGAGACUGGUGCAUUGUGGACCUGCGGUCAAAUUUACAUCAUUGCAAAAGUGGCCAAACCCACAGCCCAGCUGGCAGGAUGCAAGUCCCCAUGACGACUGGGGUGCCCUGGUGUCCCUGACGGACUGGUGAAUACAGGAGUAGGGAGAGACAGAUGGGUAUGUGUCCAGUAUAUCCUCAUACUGUGGAGGGGGUUCUUGUAAAGGCAGAGGUUUAACAGCCGUUAUUGAUGGUAAUUCUGUUUUGUGUGCUCCAUUCCUUGAUAUUUUUUUGACUAUUGUUGGUGUUAGUGGGGGCUGCCGUAACAAGUUCUUAAUUUAAAUGAGGUUAGUUCAAGGUAAAACAUGUCAAAUAAGUUAGAAAAAAAAGGUUAUUCAGGUCCAUUAGAUACUGUUCCUCAACGCCUAUGAUUCUUGGUGAUUUUGCAGAUUAAUUUAGUAACUCUUCAUAGUAUCUAUUGGCAGUGGUCAAGGCCAAUGGUCCAGUACGUCCUUGGUAGGGUUUUGGGGACAGGUGUUCCAGGGGGUUGCGUUCCACUUUCUGCUGCUCUCUGCUCUGUGUUUAUCUCCAGAUAUAUCCUGAGGAAGAUGCUGGGAAGGUGCCAGCCCUCAGAGCCUAUUUAGAUGAGUCCACAACAUGUCCUGACUGACAAGACUGUCAACAAAGCUGUUUUUAAACAGUUGUCAACGUGGUUCAUCCUUACCGAACUGGGACGGGAACUGGGACCUAUGGCUUUCACCCACUGAGAAAGGGGCACAACAUUGGCAUUCACUCACUGCUGAUGGGGCACAGCCACACUUCUUUAGUUAUCAAUAUGUGUUAGAAGUGUAUCACAUUGCUGUGAUUAUUUGCAUAUUUUACUUAGCCUACUUAAAAUGGGAUUAUCAUUGGCACAUUGCUGGUUCCCCUUUUACUGCAAUGAGCAAAAUCAGUCAGUGUUUCUUGGUUGUCUUAACCUCUCUGGGAGAUGUGUAGCGUCCCACCUCGCCAACAGCCAGUGACCGUGCAGGGCGCCAAAUUCAAAACAACAAAAAUCUCAA
Molecule: long non-coding RNA, 1536 nt
Organism: Oncorhynchus tshawytscha (Chinook salmon)
Lineage: Eukaryota; Metazoa; Chordata; Actinopteri; Salmoniformes; Salmonidae
Exons: 4
Source: RefSeq, a predicted model, not a curated record